RNAcentral lists this ribosomal RNA (713 nucleotides) under uncultured Ralstonia sp. RNAcentral describes it as "bacterial SSU rRNA". It matches the Rfam family "Bacterial small subunit ribosomal RNA", at positions 61 to 763 of the family's 1533-position model. Lineage: Bacteria; Pseudomonadati; Pseudomonadota; Betaproteobacteria; Burkholderiales; Burkholderiaceae. The record is from RNAcentral.
GUCGAACGGCAGCAUGAUCUAGCUUGCUAGAUUGAUGGCGAGUGGCGAACGGGUGAGUAAUACAUCGGAACGUGCCCUGUAGUGGGGGAUAACUAGUCGAAAGAUUAGCUAAUACCGCAUACGACCUGAGGGUGAAAGUGGGGGACCGCAAGGCCUCAUGCUAUAGGAGCGGCCGAUGUCUGAUUAGCUAGUUGGUGGGGUAAAGGCCCACCAAGGCGACGAUCAGUAGCUGGUCUGAGAGGACGAUCAGCCACACUGGGACUGAGACACGGCCCAGACUCCUACGGGAGGCAGCAGUGGGGAAUUUUGGACAAUGGGCGAAAGCCUGAUCCAGCAAUGCCGCGUGUGUGAAGAAGGCCUUCGGGUUGUAAAGCACUUUUGUCCGGAAAGAAAUGGCUCUGGUUAAUACCUGGGGUCGAUGACGGUACCGGAAGAAUAAGGACCGGCUAACUACGUGCCAGCAGCCGCGGUAAUACGUAGGGUCCAAGCGUUAAUCGGAAUUACUGGGCGUAAAGCGUGCGCAGGCGGUUGUGCAAGACCGAUGUGAAAUCCCCGAGCUUAACUUGGGAAUUGCAUUGGUGACUGCACGGCUAGAGUGUGUCAGAGGGGGGUAGAAUUCCACGUGUAGCAGUGAAAUGCGUAGAGAUGUGGAGGAAUACCGAUGGCGAAGGCAGCCCCCUGGGAUAACACUGACGCUCAUGCACGAAAGCGUG